AUGGUCGGCGGCGGCAAGGUGCAGGUGGCUAGUCUCCGCGACGGCGCCACUAGCCCUGCUCGACGCGUCCCGUGCGAUGGCUGGCCUUGUCUGGCAGCCAUCCAGCAGCUGCUGCACUGUGCUGGCCGGUGCUUCCCUACAUCGACAGUGACAAUACGUGGUUUCCCUCUCGGUGCUGGUGGUCCUCUCUGGCGAUCUGCUUCCCCAUCUCCUGUUUGCUCUGCUUCGGCGUUUUGGGGUUCUGGUCUUGGGCCGGGCGAAAUCCCUGCGCGGCGAUGGCCUGCGCUGACAACGGCGACACCUGAGGGUGCCGUUACCUCCAUGGAGGCGCUGUCAUGGCCCAGACUGGACCCUCUCCUCGGGCACCGGGGGAAACCCUUGGUCCAGUUCCCUGGACAAGGCAGCGACGGCGUCUCAGCGCCGUUCCUUUCUUGA
This 435-nucleotide ribosomal RNA is filed under the name Triticum aestivum (bread wheat). RNAcentral describes it as "partial small subunit ribosomal RNA". Lineage: Eukaryota; Viridiplantae; Streptophyta; Magnoliopsida; Poales; Poaceae. The record is from RNAcentral.